CCUACGGGAGACAGCAGUGAGGAAUAUUGGUCAAUGGACGAGAGUCUGAACCAGCCAAGUAGCGUGAAGGAUGACUGCCCUAUGGGUUGUAAACUUCUUUUAUAUGGGAAUAAAAUGUUCCACGUGUGGGAUUUUGUAUGUACCCUAUGAAUAAGGAUCGGCUAACUCCGUGCCAGCAGCCGCGGUAAUACGGAGGAUCCGUGCGUUAUCCGGAUUUAUUGGGUUUAAAGGGAGCGUAGGUGGAUUGUUAAGUCAGUUGUGAAAGUUUGCGGCUCAACCGUAAAAUUGCAGUUGAAACUGGCAGUCUGGAGUACAGUAGAGGUGGGCGGAAUUCGUGGUGUAGCGGUGAAAUGCUUAGAUAUCACGCAGAACUCCGAUUGCGAAGGCAGCUCACUGGACUGCAACUGACACUGAGGCUCGAAAGUGUGGGUAUCAAACAGGAUUAGAUACCCGGGUAGUC
RNAcentral lists this ribosomal RNA (460 nucleotides) under uncultured bacterium. RNAcentral's name for it is "partial 16S ribosomal RNA". It matches the Rfam family "Bacterial small subunit ribosomal RNA", at positions 338 to 795 of the family's 1533-position model. The record is from RNAcentral.